AAAUUGAAGAGUUUGAUCAUGGCUCAGAUUGAACGCUGGCGGCAGGCCUAACACAUGCAAGUCGAACGGUAACGGGAAGCAGCUUGCUGCUUUGCUGACGAGUGGCGGACGGGUGAGUAAUGUCUGGGAAACUGCCUGAUGGAGGGGGAUAACUACUGGAAACGGUGGCUAAUACCGCAUAACGUCGCAAGACCAAAGAGGGGGACCUUCGGGCCUCUUGCCAUCAGAUGUGCCCAGAUGGGAUUAGCU
Molecule: ribosomal RNA, 249 nt
Filed under: Salmonella enterica
Lineage: Bacteria; Pseudomonadati; Pseudomonadota; Gammaproteobacteria; Enterobacterales; Enterobacteriaceae
Also listed under: 1 other name
Description: partial 16S ribosomal RNA
Rfam family: Bacterial small subunit ribosomal RNA
Source: RNAcentral